RNAcentral lists this long non-coding RNA (2560 nucleotides) under Ursus thibetanus thibetanus. RNAcentral describes it as "lncRNA (ENSUTTG00000013163.1)". The record is from RNAcentral. Lineage: Eukaryota; Metazoa; Chordata; Mammalia; Carnivora; Ursidae.
AUGCGCCUGUCAGUCCGGGCGCUGCGCCGCACUCGGCCCGAGCUGUUUGUAAAUUACAUUAGCGGCGCCUUUAUUGCACCCGAACCUCGGGCGACUCAAAAGCCGCCGCCCCCACCCCAAACUGCGAGCCUCGCUCCCGGCGCACCCGCCUCCCGCCGGCCUGGCUGCGAUGGUAGCGCCGGCCCGGAGGUCUCAGGCUCUCCGACCCGGGAUUUGGCGCCCGAGAAGGGCGGCGCGAGCCCAGCCGGAGAGGGACGCGGCCGCUGCGCGGGCCAGCAGGGCCACCUGAGUGUCUUUGCAGAAGCAGGUGAGAGGGCUGAUGGCACCAUGACCUCAGACAACUCCACUCCAGGCCCGCUGUGUGAUCUUGGUCCUGGACCGAGGGAGAGAAGGAGCGCCAGGGAGAAGGCACACGGCUAAGGGCAGAGGAAUGGCCAGACGAUCCCCCCCCCCACUCUUUCACCCUCUCCAGGGGAGCCUCUCUGAGGUAGGGUCCUCCUAGCUGCAGAAGUGGGACGGGCUGUGGGGGAGCAGGGGAGGGCAGGCUGGAAGCUGGCGGCUGGGGAUGCCUGGCUGGGCAGGAAAGGGCUGGAAUCCGGCUCCCCCGCGACCCGUCCCGAGCUCCCGCUGCAGGGUCGCCCCGUGGCAGCCCCGACAGGCCGUGCGUCCCUCAGCACAAGUCCCAUUAUAUUGUAUUUAUGUUUCACUUUAUUGUUUUUUUCCCCUCUCUUAUUGUCUCACUCUGGGGGAGGCAAAGGAUAUAAUAUAUUCAUCUUUAUUAUACCAAAUCUGUGUGAAGCAUUUAAUAAAACGCUGUUUCCACACAGCCAGGGAUAUUAGUGUGAGCUUUUCUUAAGUUAAUGCUCUGGUACUAAGGGCGCCUCCGCCACAGCGCCUGCUGCUGGCAGCCCGGGGGAAGCGCAGGCCCGGGCCGGGGGCACCCCGCACCCACCCUGAGCGCCGGUGCCCUUUCCGCUCGAGCGCUCAUCCUAGCGGUGGCUCGGUGACCUCUGGGGCCCCAGCCUGGGAGGAGGGCCUCGGAAGAGCCGAGUCCGAGCCCGCCCCACCCCCCCUCCGCCUCUCUAACCAGUGGGCCUUGGUUUGUGCGGGGGGUGGGGGUGGCGGAAGGUACAAAAACACCGAGAGAGAAAUCACUUUCCUCUCAGGGCUCUUUGUUGGGAGGCUCAAGAGGCCGUGGGGGUGGACAGGACUUUAUAAAUAGGAAGGAAAACAAGGAUUUGUCGAGAUGGGGUCUAUGAGGGCCAUAGAGAAACAGGGGCCUCAACAAAAGUGGUCCUAGGCAACAGAGACCCUCAAGCUGAAUCCAGCCCAGGCUGGGGAGCAGAGUGCAGCUCCAGCUUGAGCAGAGCCCAGAAGGUUUCCGUGUUUCUGGGCUUCACCCGCUGGUAAGGCAACUCAAUGAAGUAGAGAUCUCGGACUGUGGCAGUGGGCUGUCCUGUGGUUGUCCCUGUAGGUAGGCAAGCAGUCUUUGUAGUCCAAUUUACAGCUAGCGCAUUGAGACUCAGAGAGGUCAAGUGGCUUGUUUGAGGUGACCCAGCUGGCAUGGAGCAUCGUGGAUCAUACUGUCUUCAGACUCUGCUUCCUUCCCUUCCUCCUCCAGCCCUCCCACUCCCUACCUUCCCCCUCUCUCCCUUCCCCAUCCUCCAGGGCUUUCCAUGGCCUUACAAGCUUUAUAUUUCUGCUUUCGACGUAUGCACAUACCUACCUGGGGAUGCACAUGAGAAGGAGAAACAGUCACAUGAAUUUCCAUAUCCAGGCUCACUGCCCAAUGUCCUUUAGAGCCCACUGCCUAGGUUCUUUUAGGGCCCAGAUUUGGGAACACCAGCCUUAUUUAGGCCCUUGUACCAGUGCUGUGGGGGAAGGGUUGGGGACAAGGCCAGGCCAGAAGGGGGUGUUGUGCCGGAAAGGACUGGAGUGGGCAGGUAAGUCCCCCUGAUAGGACUAAUAUUCUCCCAUAUUCUCAGUCCUCCUUUGCCCCCAUCACCUCAUCUUUGGGGCUGUGCCAGGUCACCCCACAUACUGUAGGUUGCUGGUGGAAGCUUGUGUGGAGGCUAAGUGUACUUGAGAAGUCUGACCGUUGCCACCUGGGACUGGCUGGGGGAGGAGGGUGCAGACUCACUGUGUGGCUGGGCUGGGACUAGAGGGAGACAAGCGAGGUGUCUGGGGCGCAGGAUUGAAGGGGUGCUGGCUCUCAGUGUUGUGCGCUUCAGUUCUGUGCUUAGGCAGCUCAUUUGCCUCACCCUAGUCCCAGCUCUGCUGUGUGGUCCCAGGGGUGGGGUCACUGCCGCAAAUUGCUGAGCAGAGAUGGGGUGACUUCAGCUUAUCCUUGUGAAUGGCUUUUCUGAAGGGUAGAAGCGGAAACAAUGGAAUAAGCUGCCUUGUGUGGGAGUGAGCUUCCCCCAACAGGUGGAGUAUACAAGUAGUGCUUAGCACCUGCCCAGAAGGCUAAUAGUCACCAUUUUAUUGUCAUCAUCAUCCUCAUGUUUUACUGUCACUCCCUUCGUGCCGCGUAAGCGUAAGAGCUUUACCUCAUUAUCUC